Molecule: RNase P RNA, 412 nt
Filed under: marine eukaryotic metagenome
Description: Bacterial RNase P class A
Rfam family: Bacterial RNase P class A
About the family: Ribonuclease P (RNase P) is a ubiquitous endoribonuclease, found in archaea, bacteria and eukarya as well as chloroplasts and mitochondria.
Source: RNAcentral
GACGGCCGGAUGGCUGCCUUCGGCGUUCGCGCCGGGGGAGGAAAGUCCGGGCUCCACGGAAACACGGUGCCGGGUAACACCCGGCGGGGGCGACCCCAGGGAAAGUGCCACAGAAAGCAAACCGCCGACGCCCCCGGCAUCUAAGCCGGGCGCGGGCAAGGGUGAAAGGGUGCGGUAAGAGCGCACCGCGCUGCCGGCGACGGCAGCGGCAUGGUAAACCCCACCGGGAGCAAGACCGAAUAGGGACGGCCGGCCGGCAUCGCCUUCGGGCGGUGGCCGGCGGGCGGGUUUUCGCGCCGCCGUCCGGGUAGGUCGCGCGAGGCGUCCGGUAACGGGCGCCCCAGAUGAAUGGCCAUCUAUCGCCGCCGCUUCGCCGGCGGCGGGGACAGAACCCGGCUUACAGGCUGUCUGG